GAACUCCAGGUAGGUCGCCAUGGGGCUGCAGCAGCUCUGGAAGGACUGAAGCAGCACACGUUCAGGCAGGUUGUCUCAAACCUCAGCAAACCCAGCAAAGAAAGACGAAAAUCUGACAAUCAACGCCCGAAUGCGAGGGCAGCCAUACCAGGAUGAGACAGCAGAUGGCACUCGAACAGCACCAGACGAACAACCACCGCUCCACCUCCAGUAAAGAAAUGCUGCAAUCUGCCUAGGACUUACUUAGUGGAGAACAGGAUUCUGCAGUUAAGACUAAAGAAGACUGAAGUCUUCAGGCACAGCUGCCUGUCUAAUGCCUUUAGCCUCUCAGAAAUGAGCAGCCCUGAGGGGGAAAAAAUAGUAAUAAUAAUUUUUGCUGUU
Cygnus olor (mute swan) is the source of this 381-nucleotide long non-coding RNA. RefSeq lists it as uncharacterized. The transcript has 3 exons. NCBI's taxonomy places the organism in Eukaryota, Metazoa, Chordata, Aves, Anseriformes, Anatidae. The record is from RefSeq and is a predicted model, not a curated record.